GACGUAGGGCGCGAGCGUUGUCCGGAUUUAUUGGGCGUAAAGAGCUCGUAGGCGGCUUGUUGCGUCGGCUGUGAAAUCCCGUGGCUUAACUGCGGGCUUGCAGCUGAUACGGGCGGGCUGGAGUUCGGUAGGGGAGACUGGAAUUCCUGGUGUAGCGGUGAAAUGCGCAGAGAUCGGGAGGAACACCCGUAGCGAAGGCGGCACUCUGGGCCGGAACUGACGCUGAGGAGCGAAAGCGUGGGUAGCAAACAGG
RNAcentral lists this ribosomal RNA (253 nucleotides) under uncultured bacterium. Its description in RNAcentral is "partial 16S ribosomal RNA". It matches the Rfam family "Bacterial small subunit ribosomal RNA", at positions 524 to 776 of the family's 1533-position model. The record is from RNAcentral.